RNAcentral lists this ribosomal RNA (495 nucleotides) under uncultured bacterium. Its description in RNAcentral is "partial 16S ribosomal RNA". It matches the Rfam family "Bacterial small subunit ribosomal RNA", at positions 28 to 507 of the family's 1533-position model. The record is from RNAcentral.
GACGAACGCUGGCGGCGUGCCUAAUACAUGCCAGUCGAACGCUGAAGGAGGAGCUUGCUUCCCUGGAUGAGUUGCGAACGGGUGAGUAACGCGUAGGUAACCUGCCUGGUAGCGGGGGAUAACUCUUGGAAACGAUAGCUAAUACCGCAUAAGAGUAGAUGUUGCAUGACAUUUGCUUAAAAGGUGCAAUUGCAUCACUACCAGAUGGACCUGCGUUGUAUUAUCUAGUUGGUGGGGUAACGGCUCACCACGGCGACGAUACAUAGCCGACAUGAGAGGGGGGUCGGCCACACUGGGAAUGAGACACGGCCCAGACUCCUACAGGGGGCAGCAGUAGGGAAUCUUCGGCAAUAGGCGGGAGUCUGACCGAGCAAAGCCGCGUGAGUGAAGAAGGUUUUCGGAUCGUAAAGCACUGUUGUAAGAGAAGAAAGAGUGUGAGAGUGGAAAGAUCACACUGUGACGGUAUCUUACCAGAAAGGGACGGCUAACUACGUG